CACCCUCGGGCUGCUGAGCAAUGCACCUGUGAAGCUGAGGUGACCAAUUCUGCUCCUGCACCUUGUAGGAUGCUGUGGUGUGUGCCCAAGAGGAAGGAGGAGCUACCUUCCAUCUCAUUACAGGCACAUUUCAGGAAUACUGGAAAGCACCUGAGCAUAAUCAGAAACUGGGAAAGGGAAUUUUACCAACCAUGAAGCCUGAUCAGCUUGCGGACAAAAAAUACAAGCAUGUGAUUUCUCUGACCAGACAUAAGACAUGAAAAUUGGAAAGGCAGCAGAAAGCUUAGGAAGAAAAUCAGCUGAAGUAUAUCCAAGCUGUAAAAC
RNAcentral lists this long non-coding RNA (324 nucleotides) under Junco hyemalis (dark-eyed junco). RNAcentral describes it as "lncRNA (ENSJHYG00000018446.1)". The record is from RNAcentral. Lineage: Eukaryota; Metazoa; Chordata; Aves; Passeriformes; Passerellidae.